This 298-nucleotide long non-coding RNA is filed under the name Nicotiana benthamiana. RNAcentral describes it as "long non-coding RNA (NBEN_LNC039467)". The record is from RNAcentral. Lineage: Eukaryota; Viridiplantae; Streptophyta; Magnoliopsida; Solanales; Solanaceae.
CAUUAGUCUCUGAAUUGUAGCCGUUUGAGAGUCAAAUCUCUGAAAAGUGCAGAAGAAUUUGAUUUAUUCAAAAGUUCUUUGACCUCUUAUUCUUGACCAAAUUUUGUGACAGAGGAGACAGAGAAAAGCGUUGGAGAGACGUUAUGGAGUUACCAAGGUUGGUAAAAAAAUGGUAGAGCAUCACUGACUUAGGUUUGAAAAGCUUUGGAGCUUUGCUAAAAAUGUCCAUGUGAGAUAGAGGAAUGUGAGAGGGUGACUGCCACGGAGAAAAGGAACUAGGGUUAAGGUUUAGUUGGGC